GUCAUAUGCUUGUCUCAAAGAUUAAGCCAUGCAUGUCUCAGUACAAGCCAAAUUAAGGUGAAACCGCGAAAGGCUCAUUAAAUCAGUUAUGGUUCCUUAGAUCGUACCCACAAUUACUUGGAUAACUGUGGUAAUUCUAGAGCUAAUACAUGCAAACAGAGCUCCGACCGGAGACGGAAGGAGUGCUUUUAUUAGAUCAAAACCAAUCGGUGGCGGGUUCGCACUCGUCAUCGUACAACUUGGUGACUCUGAAUAACUUUACGCUGAUCGCAUGGUCAUCGCACCGGCGACGCAUCUUUCAAAUGUCUGCCUUAUCAACUGUCGAUGGUAGGUUCUGCGCCUACCAUGGUUGUAACGGGUAACGGGGAAUCAGGGUUCGAUUCCGGAGAGGGAGCCUGAGAAACGGCUACCACAUCCAAGGAAGGCAGCAGGCGCGCAAAUUACCCACUCCCGGCACGGGGAGGUAGUGACGAAAAAUAACGAUACGGGACUCAUCCGAGGCCCCGUAAUCGGAAUGAGUACACUCUAAACCCUUUAACGAGGAUCAAUUGGAGGGCAAGUCUGGUGCCAGCAGCCGCGG
This 580-nucleotide ribosomal RNA is filed under the name Acalles longipilis. Its description in RNAcentral is "SSU rRNA". It matches the Rfam family "Eukaryotic small subunit ribosomal RNA", at positions 23 to 579 of the family's 1831-position model. Lineage: Eukaryota; Metazoa; Arthropoda; Insecta; Coleoptera; Curculionidae. The record is from RNAcentral.